RNAcentral lists this ribosomal RNA (750 nucleotides) under uncultured Glomus. Its description in RNAcentral is "eukaryotic LSU rRNA". It matches the Rfam family "Eukaryotic large subunit ribosomal RNA", at positions 38 to 633 of the family's 3401-position model. Lineage: Eukaryota; Fungi; Glomeromycota; Glomeromycetes; Glomerales; Glomeraceae. The record is from RNAcentral.
CGAUAUCAAUAAGCGGAGGAAAAGAAAAUAACAAUGAUUCCCCUAGUAACUGCGAGUGAAGAGGGAUAAGCUCAAAUUUUAAAUCUGACGGGUCCUACUUUUCAGAGUUGUAAUUUGAAGAAGCGUUUUCUGCGUCUUGUUAACCUAAAUCUUUUGGAACAAGGUAUCAUGGAGGGUGACAGUCCCGUUCAUGGUUAACAUCAAGAUGCGUUACGAUACGUUUUCUAAGAGUCGAGUUGUUUGGGAUUGCGGCUCAAAAUGGGAGGUAAAUUUCUCCUAAGGCUAAAUAUUGGCGAGAGACCGAUAGCGAACAAGUACCGUGAGGGAAAGAUGAAAAGAACUUUGAGAAGAGAGUUGAACAGUACGUGAAAUUGUUGAAAGGGAAACGAUUGAAGUCAGUCGUACUAACGGGAAAUCAACCUAUUUGGGUUGUGAAUUUUGGAUUUUGAAGAGUGUAAACCUUUGGGGUUCAAACAUUUGCGCUCUUUAGGCGUAAUUUCUCGUUCGGUAGGUUAACAUCGAUUUUGAAGAUUAUAAAAUGACCGGAGGAAUGUAGCUUCGAUCUCGUAUUGAAGUGUUAUAGCCUUUGGUAGAUGUAAUGAUCAAGAUCGAGGAUUGCAACGAAUACCCUUUUGGGCUAUCCGUCUGGUCUCUGAUACGUUGCCUCGGUAACGAAAGCUUGCUUACGGUAUUGAGGUAUUACGGUCAAUAGGUUAGAACGUGAUUACAUUCGUUAAGGAUGUUGACGUA